UUUGACUUUUGAUUUGUUAAUCUCUCUCCGUAGUUCCGAAGAAGAAGCUCAUUUCAAGAAACUCAAGCAAUACUGCUCGUGCUUCAUGGUCUCUCCUCUUCCAAAUCCAAACAAAAGUGACCCACGCCUCUCAGCCUCCCAAAAAGACCGCUUCUAAGUGGGUCAAGGGGAAGCAAUUGGAAGAAGUUGUGGCCGUUAAAAACACGUGAGAUAUGGGAUUGGUGGCAAAAAUAUAGCUUUUGUGGGACUACUUGGACUCAAAUAAUUUUCUGUAAAGUUUGGAAGCUAAGACAUCAUUUGUAUAUAAAUGGUUGUAAUUACUUUGUGAACAUCUUUAUUGCAUUUUUAGAUUGUAUGGAUGUUUUUUAUGAAUUUGGAUAGAAAUGAAUGGAAUUUAUUUUUAA
This is a long non-coding RNA of Quercus lobata, 404 nucleotides long. RefSeq lists it as uncharacterized. The transcript has 4 exons. NCBI's taxonomy places the organism in Eukaryota, Viridiplantae, Streptophyta, Magnoliopsida, Fagales, Fagaceae. The record is from RefSeq and is a predicted model, not a curated record.